RNAcentral lists this ribosomal RNA (268 nucleotides) under Tanichthys albonubes (white cloud mountain minnow). Its description in RNAcentral is "partial 12S small subunit ribosomal RNA". It matches the Rfam family "Bacterial small subunit ribosomal RNA", at positions 844 to 1233 of the family's 1533-position model. The record is from RNAcentral. Lineage: Eukaryota; Metazoa; Chordata; Actinopteri; Cypriniformes; Tanichthyidae.
CUAGACAUAAUAAUAAGUUAAAUGUCCGCCCGGGUACUACGAGCAUCAGCUUGAAACCCAAAGGNCCUGACGGUGCCUUAGACCCCCCUAGAGGAGCCUGUUCUAUAACCGAUAACCCCCGUUAAACCUCACCACUUCUAGCCAUCCCAGCCUAUAUACCGCCGUCGUCAGCUUACCCUGUGAAGGUAAUAAAAGUAAGCACAAUGGAUAUAAUUCAGAACGUCAGGUCGAGGUGUAGCGUACGAGUGGAAAGAAUGGGCUACAUUUU